GUGCUCACUUCAGUAGCACAUAUACUAAAAUCGGUAUGAUUAUAGAGACUAGCAUGGCCCCUGCACAAGGAUGACACACAAAUUUAUGAAGUGUUCCACAUUUUA
Phacochoerus africanus (Common warthog) is the source of this 105-nucleotide small nuclear RNA. NCBI's taxonomy places the organism in Eukaryota, Metazoa, Chordata, Mammalia, Artiodactyla, Suidae. The record is from RefSeq and is a predicted model, not a curated record.